GCGUCGGUGGUGAAGCGGCUAGCACAUGCUCCUGGAAAGAGUAGGAUCUGGGUUCAAAACCCGGCUGACGCA
Non-coding RNA from Parelaphostrongylus tenuis, 72 nucleotides. NCBI's taxonomy places the organism in Eukaryota, Metazoa, Nematoda, Chromadorea, Rhabditida, Metastrongylidae. The record is from the annotation of a GenBank genome assembly.